Molecule: long non-coding RNA, 334 nt
Organism: Passer montanus (Eurasian tree sparrow)
Lineage: Eukaryota; Metazoa; Chordata; Aves; Passeriformes; Passeridae
Exons: 3
Source: RefSeq, a predicted model, not a curated record
CUUGGGGAAAGUGUAGGGUUAACAGCCUGUUAAUGUGCAGUGGGACAAGCUGUCUGAAGGGCCUUGUGGGACUGAUCUUGCCUGUAUAAUGAUAUAUUUCUAAGUUUGUCCCUGGAAAUACCAUUUGUAGAGAGAACACGUAUAUUUACAAGUAUAGUGUUCUGUAGGCAGGCUGACCAGGUGGUUGUAAAACCACUGUGAGCUAUUCAGAAUUCGUUCAUAUGAUACUGCAGCCACACACAUGCAGCUAUGCAUUCAGCAUACCCUGCAUUUUCAUGAGGAGAAUUGUGGCAUGCUGGGGUGCUUCAGGAAGAAUGUUGCCAGCAGGUCAGUU